CGCUCAUGCCCACGCUCUUGCAGGGUAUGCCUUCCACUACCGUUCACCAUGGCCCUGUGCGAGCAUGCACGCGCGCAUGCGUGUGUGUGAGCGAAAGGGAGAAGCGACGGCGUACAGCGGAGAAAAGGGAGACAUAUACGUGUAUGCACAUCGCGGUAAAACGGACGACACAGAUGAGGGUUACACAAGGACGGCAUUGAGGAUCGCUUGGAUGCAGUGGGACGGAAUGCCUGUGACGUCCUCACACACCCACCCACACAAAAGCAAAACAAAAAGGCGUCUGUGUUGUGAGCGUUUUCGUUUUGUGGUCCUCUCCGAGCUUCCCCUCCGCGUCUUCUUUGCAAGCAAAAAAGACCAGGAAGGCAAAAGAGGCAAACACCCACCCGGGCGGACACACCGGCAAACGCCUGCGCGUUAUCACUGGUAGGCAACCGUAACGGUAAGGCCACAGAAAGGGGGGCGGGGGUGGGAUGGAUAGGAGGGGGAAAAGGCGAGGCGCGCCUGAGAAAGAAGCGCAGCGGGCGCACAAUGCAACAGCUACAAAGCCGGCAGAAAAUAAGCAAGGGCUAACGAAAGACAAGCAAACGACUCCUUUAGCCUAACGCAACAAAAAGCAAGAAGGGACACGAAAAAAAAAGCAAAAAAGGAAAACAGACGAAAGCGGCGAAAAAAGACCAAGGCUGCGAUAAGCUGAUGAAGCAGCGCGGGGAGCAGCAAAAAUAGAAGAACAAAUGCGUCUGUGCAGGUGCUCGACUGCGCGCACUUCUCUUUCUCGAUGUUUUCGCGUGUUUCACCUUCUUCUACAUUGCUCUCUGCUUGUUUCACAUGAGUGCGAGCGUGUGCGUGCAUGCGCUUCUUUCUGUAAGUUUUUUACUGUCGCUUUUUCAGCUUCAAGGCGUUUUUCUUUCUCCUGUGCUUACUCCUACGCUCACAUAAAUAUGUGAUCUUGUCGAAAGACCGACACCGGCAGGGACGCUCCUAUGAAGGCCUGUGGUGUACGCUUCUGGGCACCGAACUUCCUACUCGUAGAAGAUGCCACCCUCUUUCCGUACAGCCUCGUACACGCACAACAUUCCGCAGAGUUAUAUGCACGCAAGCAGUUUCGAUUUCACGCGCGAGCACAUGUGAUAAAACAGCGCGCGCGCACACACACGCACACACACACACAAACACCAGGCAAGCAACACAAAACAAACGUAAAGCGGACAUAAGACAACAGAAAGCCACAAAAGGGGAGAUGCGUCUGUGUUGGGGGAAGGGGUGCCUUUCAUCCAUCUACGCCUACGCAUGUGUCUGCCUGUCCUUUUUUUUUCUGCACCUUCUUAUUUCAAGUUAUCUCACUUCGCUUUCUUUUUCUUUUGGUUUUGCACGCCCUUCAGUGUCCUCAUUCUCUAAGCUACUCUUCUUGCCCCCGAUCAAACUCUCUCUUUGUGCGCUGCGUGAAGACCUUGUGUGCAGUAUGGUAAAAUUUCUUUUUUUUUCACUCUGGCGGUCGAUGGCACUCAUGCUUGUCGUUGUUCUUGUAGAAGAUGUAAGCAUGUCGAAAAAGAGCGGGCGGGUGUUGGAGGACUUGCAGUAAGUCAUGUGCGUGCAUCGUUUUGCGUUGCAUCUUUUCUUUGUGACACUUCAUACGCCACCUAAACAGCCCUUAGAUGCCUUGAUACCCGCAGUGCAUCACACGCACUCGAGGAACGCUCAUACCAACAUGCCCACUCACCCAUACGUGCACAGCCGAACGGCGCAUGCAAAGAGAAGCAGAGACAGAGAGACAGGAGAGGAAUGAGCAGCAGGUGUAACACGUCGGCGAGGAGCACCGACGCUCUUGCUAUUGCCGUGUAGAGACGAAAAUUUUGCUCCUAGAACACACAACAAAGAGAGCGGGAGGGGAGGGGGAGCGGCGUGGGUGUUGUGCUUCGGUAAUGCUGUGAUCUUAUUUGUUUUCUCUUUGGCGUCGAAGACCACGUAAAGGAGUGGGAAGCAGCAGAAAAAUCAAUGGCCACAACGUCACUUCUUUCCUCUCGGCUGCCCUCUCUUUUCGUCACAGAACACACCUACGCUUGCAGCGUUGCGGCUAAGUUGGUGGAGGGUAUGCGCGCGUGUGCUUGUGUGCGUGCUCUGUGGCUCUUUGCCCUCGAUUUGUGCUUCCUCUUCUCGCCGGGCUUACCACUUUUUUUUUGUUUCGUUCUCUAUCAG
Molecule: unclassified non-coding RNA, 2193 nt
Filed under: Leishmania donovani
Lineage: Eukaryota; Euglenozoa; Kinetoplastea; Trypanosomatida; Trypanosomatidae
Description: gene:unknown
Source: RNAcentral